This 444-nucleotide ribosomal RNA is filed under the name uncultured bacterium. Its description in RNAcentral is "partial 16S ribosomal RNA". It matches the Rfam family "Bacterial small subunit ribosomal RNA", at positions 339 to 795 of the family's 1533-position model. The record is from RNAcentral.
CUACGGGGCGCAGCAGUGGGGAAUAUUGCACAAUGGGCGCAAGCCUGAUGCAGCAACGCCGCGUGGGGGACGACGGCCUUCGGGUUGUAAACCUCUUUUAGUAGGGAAGAAGCGCAAGUGACGGUACCUACAGAAAAAGCACCGGCUAACUACGUGCCAGCAGCCGCGGUAAUACGUAGGGUGCAAGCGUUGUCCGGAAUUAUUGGGCGUAAAGAGCUCGUAGGCGGUUUGUCGCGUCUGCUGUGAAAAUCCGAGGCUCAACCUCGGACCUGCAGUGGGUACGGGCAAACUAGAGUGCGGUAGGGGAGAUUGGAAUUCCUGGUGUAGCGGUGGAAUGCGCAGAUAUCAGGAGGAACACCAAUGGCGAAGGCAGAUCUCUGGGCCGUAACUGACGCUGAGGAGCGAAAGCGUGGGGAGCGAACAGGAUUAGAUACCCUAGUAGUC